UACGUAGGGUGCGAGCGUUGUCCGGAAUUAUUGGGCGUAAAGAGCUCGUAGGCGGUGUGUCACGUCGUUCGUGAAAACCUGCAGCUUAACUGUGGGCGUGCGGUCGAUACGGGCAUCACUGGAGUUCGGCAGGGGAGACUGGAAUUCCUGGUGUAGCGGUGAAAUGCGCAGAUAUCAGGAGGAACACCAAUAGCGAAGGCAGCUCGCUGGGACGGUACUGACGCUGAGGUGCGAAAGCGUGGGGAGCAAACAGG
This 254-nucleotide ribosomal RNA is filed under the name uncultured bacterium. Its description in RNAcentral is "partial 16S ribosomal RNA". It matches the Rfam family "Bacterial small subunit ribosomal RNA", at positions 524 to 776 of the family's 1533-position model. The record is from RNAcentral.